UACGAAGGGGGCGAGCGUUAUUCGGAAUCACUGGGCGUAAAGCGUGCGUAGGCUGUUUUGUAAGUCAGAAGUGAAAGCCCAGGGCUCAACCCUGGAAUUGCUUUUGAAACUACAAGACUCGAAUUCGGGAGAGGAUAGCGGAAUUGUCAGUGUAGCAGUGAAAUGCGUAGAUAUUGACAGGAACACCAGUGGCGCAAGCGGCUAUCUGGACCGACAUUGACGCUGAGGCACGAAAGCGUGGGGAG
This 245-nucleotide ribosomal RNA is filed under the name uncultured Pseudomonadota bacterium. RNAcentral's name for it is "uncultured proteobacterium partial 16S ribosomal RNA". It matches the Rfam family "Bacterial small subunit ribosomal RNA", at positions 524 to 768 of the family's 1533-position model. The record is from RNAcentral. Lineage: Bacteria; Pseudomonadati; Pseudomonadota.